This 1006-nucleotide ribosomal RNA is filed under the name Megascolecidae sp. YN201766-01. RNAcentral's name for it is "partial small subunit ribosomal RNA". The stretch from base 1 to 311 matches the Rfam family "Bacterial small subunit ribosomal RNA", at positions 1029 to 1533 of the family's 1533-position model. Lineage: Eukaryota; Metazoa; Annelida; Clitellata; Crassiclitellata; Megascolecidae. The record is from RNAcentral.
GAUUUACAGCAUGUGUACUGCCGUUGUAAGCAUACCUCUAAAAGAAUAAGUGUGCCACUAUGAUUAUAACUCAUAUACAUCAGGUCAAAGUGCAGCCAAUGAAGGGGUGACGAUGGGUUACAACCCAAAAAUAGAUAUCAACCAAGAAAUUAAAAAUCUUACGAAAGUGGACUUGGUCGUAAUUAAUUUACAAGUUAAAAAAAUGAAUAAAAGCCUAAGACAUGUACACAUCGCCCGUCACUCUACCCUAAAGGGUAGAUAAGUCGUAACAAAGUAGGUGUAAUGGAAAUUGCACCUGUCGAAGUAUAGCAUAUAAAAUGCUUUCUACUUACACUAGAAAUAAAGUUAAUACUUACUCCGCCCACGUAAAUAAUUCUUAUAAUACCUAAAUAAUAUAAACAACUAAAUAUUAACUAAUAAUUAAAAGUACAUAAAUGGAAAUAAUAAUAAAUAAUAGUAACUUUUAACAACUGUACCUUGUGCAUUAUGGUUUUACAAGAAAACAAUUAAAAAUGUCUAUCCCGAAUUCUACAUGAGAUGUUAAACUGCCGUUUAAGAACCCAUUAAUAUCUGUAGAAAAAGAUUUAAAAGACGGUUUAACAGGGGCUACAUACCAUUCGCAUAAGAAUAUAUCUGGUUUUCAACAAAAAUUAUAUAUUAAAGCAUAUAACUAUGUUAUAGUGUAAUAUUAUUGAGGAUAAGCCCAAUAAUACAAGCAAUCUAGGUCCAUGUUCACCGUCAACAUAUAGGCCUAAAAACAGCCAACUAAAAUACUUUACCGUAUAGACUACUGACACAAUUCAUAAUAUCAAGUAUGCGAAAUAAAGUUGAAAUAGUGAACAAAUAUAUUAAUUCACCUAUAUUAUAUAAAAAUAAGUAUUAUUAUAUUAUAAAUAUAUAAAUCUAGUAACUACAAUAAAUAACAGAUAAUAAUUAAUUAAGGAACUCGGCAACUCAUUAUUUCGACUGUUUAACAAAAACAUUGCCUCAUGUAUAAAAUAUGAGG